This 443-nucleotide ribosomal RNA is filed under the name uncultured bacterium. Its description in RNAcentral is "partial 16S ribosomal RNA". It matches the Rfam family "Bacterial small subunit ribosomal RNA", at positions 338 to 795 of the family's 1533-position model. The record is from RNAcentral.
CCUACGGGAGGCAGCAGUGGGGAAUAUUGGACAAUGGAGGAAACUCUGACCCAGCAACGCCGCGUGAAUGAUGAAGGUCUUCGGAUUGUAAAGUUCUUUUCUAAGGGAAGAAGAAAUUGACGGUACCUUACGAAUAAGCCUCGGCUAACUACGGGCCAGCAGCCGCGGUAAUACGUAGGAGGCGAGCGUUAUCCGGAAUGACUGGGCGUAAGGGGCGCGUAGACGGCGAGACAAGUCUGGUGUGAAAGGCCGGGGCCCAACCCCGGGACUGCUCUGGAAACUGCCUGGCUGGAGUACAGGAGAGGUGAGUGGAAUUCCUAGUGUAGCGGUGAAAUGCGUAGAGAUUUGGAGGAACACCAGUGGCGAAGGCGGCUUACUGGACUGUAACUGACGUUGAGGCUCGAAAGCGUGGGGAGCAAACAGGAUUAGAUACCCCGGUAGUC